GGGGGGGUUUAUGAAAGCAGUGUUCUCCCUGGAUUUGAAUCCCGUGUGGAAGCGAAUAAAGAUUGAAAGCAGCUUGCACAAAAAAAAACUGAAAUCAAGUGCUGAAAUUAAAAUAAACCAAAAACUAAUAAGAAGAUAAUGACUGGACCAUGCAUUCAAUCAACAUAAAUCUAAUAGUAGAACCAUGUCUCAAAGAAAAAAGCCAAUUCCUUCAGAGCAAAUGUUGCAGCCGAGAAAUAAAAAAUUGCCCCUCCAAGUGUGACGGCUGGUUUUUCUUUGCAAGGCCAAGUGUCUUUGAUGAGUUGUUAUUUUCUCGACUUCACUUAGUUUAUUAUGCUAGAAUUAAUCACGGAAUUGUGCUUAAUUGUCCGGUAUUUUCCUGUUUUUACUAAUUGUGCUU
RNAcentral lists this long non-coding RNA (400 nucleotides) under Vigna radiata. RNAcentral's name for it is "long non-coding RNA (VRAD_LNC001772)". Lineage: Eukaryota; Viridiplantae; Streptophyta; Magnoliopsida; Fabales; Fabaceae. The record is from RNAcentral.